UGUUUUAUUGAAAGUGUCUUUUAGUCCAGUCGCGUUGGUAGAUAUAAACGUGAGCGUGCAUCGCGAGCUCAGUUCUCAGAGAUCAUCAAUCAUCUGAAGGCCUGAAGUUUCAGAGGAGGAGCGAGUGUAUCGAUCGCUACAGAUGUGGCCCCUAAAACCACAAACAGACCCUUAAAACACUCCUCAUCAAUGAACAUAUAGCCCGCAUCGUGACAUCAGCGGCCAUCGAUCGCCUUUACAUAAAUGUCUACAUUUAGCGCUGUUGUUUUGUUGUUGAAAUCAACUCUUCACGCGCUGGUGGAGAUCGAGCAGAACUCACACACGAGGUCAGACACACACUCUCACCCGAACCCCGGCUUAUAAUGAAGACAGCAAUUAAAGCGGAUUCAUAAAUGAGAGAGAGAGAGGAGGGAAUGAGCACUAGCGAGUGGACACAGAGCGCGCGCUGGAUGACCAGUGCUUCAUCAUCAUCAUCAUCGCGAGGAAGAGUGCGAGCGCUUCUGUGCACCCACACACACACACACACACGCACACGCGCGCCUGAGCCGACACACGGGAUUCAGGAGUCUCCUGAAAGCGGAUGGCGAGCGCAUCAUUAGGCGGGUCGGGGACAGCGCCACCCACAGGACACACGCCGUCCUGCAGCCGAAACAAAGAACUUUUGCACGUUUUCUCUUUCUCCGGUCCGACUCUCUCUCCCCCGCUCGACCGCAUCUCCUCCACCUCUGGAUCCAUGAAUAAAAUACGACGCGCUCAGAAUAAGAAGAUGGCACUGCAGUAACUGUCAAAUCCAAGAUGAAAUAAUAAAUUCAGGAGCCUUUUUCUGCUCUGUUGAAGGAAACUUUGUUCUCCUCCUCGUCUGCGUUCGCUCGUUUGCUGAUAUUUCCACCCCGUUUCGGAGUUUUUUCUCUCCUCCUUCAAGCGCUUCACUUUUCAAGGUUUCAUGGAGUGAUUGAUGACAUCGGGUGUAAAAGCAGUGCGAGACUGUUUGUAACCUCUAUCAGAACAUUCAUCACCUUAUCGUCUUUAAAUGCAAUGAAUACGGUGUAAUGUUGGGCUCGGUUGAUUGGAGUCUCCAGAAUGGGUCAAAACCUCAGCAGUGUACAGUGUGUUCGGCCUGUCCUUUGAAUGAAACAUUUUCCUCAGGUAGUUGAUCACAUGUGAUCUCUGAACCCCAACAUGACCGUGGUGUAGGAACCGCGGUGGGACGAUGAGCUUUCCUACACUUCACCAUGCGUGUGUGAUCUCACAUUAACCCUUCAUCUAAUAAACCACUCAUCCUCUCAUCGCUCUUUUAGAAACAGACACAGCAUUGACUGUGGAAUGACAAAAAUAAAGAAAACACAAGUGUAGCCCAGUGGUAAACUUGGGUAUUAUAGUGCACUGGGAGUCGGUGGGUUGUUAUGAAUCUCUCUUACUCUCAAAAGUGGAGUAAAAAAAGGGUAAACGAUUAUUUACUUGGAAAAUAAUAAUGAGGAGACACCUGACUUCUAAAUAAGCAAAUAUCAGUUAAUUUUACGUAAUUAAAAGGAGAGUGAUAUUUGGUCAUUUUAUUUUGUGACAGUAAUUUAAACAAAAGUUUAUAUUAUUUAGUUAAAUAAUAUUUGGAAGAUGUUUUAGGCCGUUUAACUUUUUAUUACUUUAUUUUUACUGUUUUUAUGUAACUAAUUGUAUUUUGAGUAUUCACGCUGUAUAGCCAAUAGUGUUUGGCGGAAGAGAUGCACGUGACCUGGUGAGAGAAAGUGCUGGAAGUUUAGUUUUUUUCCGCGUUUCCCGCUGUACCCGUGUGGAGCACGAGACGCAGGCACGGGAGAAGAGAAAUAAGACGUAAAGAAGUGCGGGUAACUCAUGAAUCGGGAGGACCGCGAAUCAGAGAAGUGGACCGCGGACUCGAGAUGUUGGUGAACCGAGAGACAGAGUGAUAAACGACGCUGAAGACCCGUUUGACGGAGCGCGAGAGACAGAGCACGAGCUGUAAUCUGAGGUAACUUAACUGUUUAGUCGAGAUCGCUAGCCACCGUGGUGUUUUGCUGGGCGGAACUGACGGUUAAUCGCACCUCACAUGAACAGCUGGACCGAAGUUUUCGACGCUCUCAAUGUUUUUUCAAGUGUUUGUUCACCGCACUCAAUGUUUUGCGAGACCCAAACAGGCCUGCAACAUGUUUUUCUCCAUUCAGUAAAACGGGACCGUGAGUAAACUGAAACGCGUGUGAAUGUGUGUGUGAGUGGGCCCACCACUACAUUUGCUAGUAUCUGUUUUAGGACACUUGACGGUAUUGUUUUGUUUAUUUUAAAGCUUUCUGUGUAUUUUCCUGUGUGGAUAGAGAUUUAGUCCAAACUGUUAUACCACUUGUCUCAAACAUGUGAGUGAAACUAUUGUAGCUAGCUAAAUAGCUUAAAGGGGCUAUUUUUCAAGUGUUCAGAGAAGAUUUUGGUCAUUUAUUUUGUUUAUGGGUUAAUAUUGAGAUAAGGGAAAAGCUUUUAUAUUUCUUUUGUGAAUUUCUGUGAUCUAAUUAAACCAGGGUUUUACCCUAUUCUUUUUGUUAAAAUAUAAA
Pimephales promelas (fathead minnow) is the source of this 2555-nucleotide non-coding RNA. Lineage: Eukaryota; Metazoa; Chordata; Actinopteri; Cypriniformes; Leuciscidae. The record is from RefSeq and is a predicted model, not a curated record.